ACGAACGCUGGCGGCACGCCUAACACAUGCAAGUCGAACGCGCAACCCUGGGGUAACCUGGGGAAGCGAGUGGCGCACGGGUGAGUAACACGUGGGAACCUGCCCAAUUGUCUGGAAUAACCACUGGAAACGGUGGCUAAUACCGGAUACAGCCUCGAGGGUUAUUCCUUGGGGUGAAAGAUUUAUCGCAAUUGGAGGGGCCCGCGUCAGAUUAGGUUGUUGGUGGGGUAAUGGCCUACCAAGCCUACGAUCUGUAGCUGGUCUAAGAGGAUGGUCAGCCACACUGGGACUGAGACACGGCCCAGACUCCUACGGGAGGCAGCAGUGAGGAAUCUUGGACAAUGGGGGAAACCCUGAUCCAGCGAUGCCGCGUGAGUGAAGAAGGUCUUCGGAUUGUAAAGCUCUUUCGACAGGGAAGAUGAUGACGGUACCUGUAGAAGAAGCCCCGGCUAACUCCGU
Molecule: ribosomal RNA, 459 nt
Filed under: uncultured bacterium
Lineage: Bacteria
Description: bacterial SSU rRNA
Rfam family: Bacterial small subunit ribosomal RNA
Source: RNAcentral